This 1241-nucleotide long non-coding RNA is filed under the name Fukomys damarensis (Damara mole-rat). RNAcentral describes it as "lncRNA (ENSFDAG00000022870.1)". The record is from RNAcentral. Lineage: Eukaryota; Metazoa; Chordata; Mammalia; Rodentia; Bathyergidae.
CACCUUCCUUGCAGAAAGCUCCAUCCACAGUUGGACCCUCUUACCGUAUGGUGCAGGAAAUGAAGAGCUAUGCCUUCCUCAGUCUUGUCACAGGGACAGCAGUGGCUGUAGGAGUGAUCACUUUUUAUAGCCUGCCCAAUUGGUUCUGCUGCAUGCCACUCUCUUGAAGGCAGAGCUGCCGCUUCUCUCCCUUGCUGGGCAAAACCUUGUAAAUGGAAAGAGAAAAGCUAAUAUAUGACAUAAUUUCAUCUGAGAAUUUGAACACAUUGAUAGUUUCAAUAUUUUUCCUUAUGAAUACCAGCUAUUGGAAUGAUUUGACUCUCAGAAUAUAUGUAUCUGUCAAGAACUUUUAAUUUGUAACUGUGUUAAUCUUAGAUAAUCCUGAAGAAUUUUUUUCACCAUUUUUUUUUUUUUUUUUGGUACUGAUGAUAGAACUUGGGCCCUUGAGCUUGCGAGGCAGGUGGCGGAAUCAAUGAGCCAAAUCCCUGGCUCGAUCCUGCAGAAUUUAGACUUAGUUGCAAAUUUGAAACUUAAUCUGGCCCAAAUUUCCUAUUUUUUAAAUGAAGUUAAGACAAAACAAACAAACAAAAAAAAGGACAAGAAUAAUUUCCUCAGGGUCUUGGAGGUCUUCCCCAUAACUCAUUCUGUUAUAAUUGGGUCCAUAUGCAAGAACCUUAGUUAAGAUAAGCUCCAGGGGAAGAACGGUUACUGCAGGUCAUUCAGGAGAGUCUGGAAAUGUCACAGUGCAAAAUGGGUAGAAGGAGGUGAUGAUGGAAGACCAUGUGCAAACAGCAAAGAUGAAGACAGUGUCCUCAACUCACGGGAUUCAUGCCUGGGCCGGCAUGUGCCCCAGGGCAUGGCACAGAGUCAUCAGAAGCAGGGGCUUUUCCCAUUCUGAAGGUUUCUACUUGAGAGAUGGAAGAGAGAAAGGAGGAAGAGGAGAGAGGACACUGCCUGGCUCACUGGUGGAAGGGGACUGACUGAUGGUUCUGGGGAAGAUUCGCGAAGUAUCCACUCAGGGAAGCACAGAAACUACGGGGCAAAGAUGUCCUUGCAGAAUUGUUUAUGAGCGAUGUUUAAAGCAUCUUAUUUAUUCAGUAAGAAAGCAGUUGUUAAAACUAUAGUUCUGCCGGUGGACCACUCAGGGCCCAUUCAGAUAAUGCAGGAGAACUUUACUUAUUGAUAUGAAAAAUAUGCAUGAUAUCUUUUUAAAUUUAAACACAGACUUUGUAAAACAGCAA